GACGAACGCUGGCGGCGUGCCUAAUACAUGCAAGUAGAACGCACAGUUUAUACCGUAGCUUGCUACACCAUAGACUGUGAGUUGCGAACGGGUGAGUAACGCGUAGGUAACCUGCCUGGUAGCGGGGGAUAACUAUUGGAGACGAUAGCUAAUACCGCAUAAUAUUAAUUAUUGCAUGAUAAUUAAUUGAAAGGUGCAAUUGCACCACUACCAGAUGGACCUGCGUUGUAUUAGCUAGUAGGUGAGGUAACGGCUCACCUAGGCGACGAUACAUAGCCGACCUGAGAGGGUGAUCGGCCACACUGGGACGGAGACACGGCCCAGACUCCUACGGGAGGCAGCAGUAGGGAAUCUUCGGCAAUGGACGAAAGUCUGACCGAGCAACGCCGCGUGAGUGAAGAAGGUUUUCGGAUCGUAAAGCUCUGUUGUAAGAGAAGAACGGGUGUGAGAGUGGAAAGUUCACACUGUGACGGUAUCUUACCAGAAAGGGACGGCUAACUACGUG
Molecule: ribosomal RNA, 505 nt
Filed under: uncultured bacterium
Lineage: Bacteria
Description: partial 16S ribosomal RNA
Rfam family: Bacterial small subunit ribosomal RNA
Source: RNAcentral